UUAACUCAGAUUUGUAUGGAGUUGGAACGUUUGCCUACGUUUGCCGCUAGGGGCGCUGUCCUAACUGCAUACAAAAAGUCA
This 81-nucleotide microRNA precursor is filed under the name Bombyx mori (domestic silkworm). Its description in RNAcentral is "mir-2807 microRNA precursor family". It matches the Rfam family "mir-2807 microRNA precursor family". The record is from Rfam by way of RNAcentral. Lineage: Eukaryota; Metazoa; Arthropoda; Insecta; Lepidoptera; Bombycidae.